RNAcentral lists this ribosomal RNA (1059 nucleotides) under Triticum aestivum (bread wheat). RNAcentral's name for it is "partial small subunit ribosomal RNA". Lineage: Eukaryota; Viridiplantae; Streptophyta; Magnoliopsida; Poales; Poaceae. The record is from RNAcentral.
AUGGGGGAGCAGCCGCAGCAGGAGCCGCUCCUCGAGGUAGAACAAUGUGUCACGUCCAUACCAGAAGAUCAUGAAGCCACUUGCUGGGGCUGCGGUCUUCGGCUUGUUUUUUCAAGUUAUUCACCUGUCUAUAAGUGUGGUUGGUGUGGAGCAGUCACCCAAGGCAACCAAACUUCAAGAAAACCUGACAGUGUAUGCUUUUCUCACUGGAGGCGUUUCCGGGAUGGGUUCUUUGUGAUUGUGCUCGUCCUCUUCGUGCUCUUCGUUAUUUGUGGCGGGGUCUGGGCGGUGUAUCCAGUUGUUUUCUCAAUCAGCAUCUUCUGUGGCAUCUUUCACUGCACAGUCACAGCUCUCUUAUCUAUAUUUACAAUUGCAAGUUAUUGUUUGGCCUCUUUCAAGUCUGCUGGUGCACCACCAGGCAUACGUUGGGGAAGCUAUCCCAUGGUUGGAAAAAAUGAUCUUGAGAACUAUACUUUCUGUACAUAUUGUAGUAAACCUAAACCCCCAAGAGCACAUCACUGCCGAUCUUGUAAAACAUGUGUGGUGGACAUGGAUCAUCAUUGCCCAUUUAUUGGGAACUGUGUGGGAGCUUCAAAUCACCAAGCUUUUGUCAUUUUUCUCAUCUCUGUGGUCACGAGCUGCAGUUAUGCUGCUAUUAUGACCAUUUAUGCAAGUUAUUGUAUAUGGCCCCCUCUAGAGUUUCCAAAUGUAUCAUCAUAUGGUCAAAUGGGUUCUACGAAAGUACUGAUGGAGAUCAUUACUAGCGUGGCCAGUUCUGCAUUCUUCUUAUCAGCAAGGGGUAUAAUUCUGGUAUAUCUUGCAUUUGCCAGUCUAUCAGUUAAUGCGGGUAUAGCUGUGUUGCUGUGCCAGCAACUUAGCUUAAUAUAUGAAGGAAAUACAUAUCUUAGCCAUAUAAGCUCACCAACUGAUAUUCAUGGAGAGAGAGGAUUGCGAAAUCUUGUUCGAUUUUUUGGGUGCCCCUACCCACUUUCUAGACUAUUGUUGGGCUACACCAACACUGGCAAGUCGCAGAACAAUUCAGGCUCAAAACUUCUUUAG